AUCCCUGUGGCUCAGUUGGUAGAGCAUGGUGUUUGCAACGCCAGGAUUGUGGGUUCGAUUCCCAUGGGGGGCC
RNAcentral lists this transfer RNA (73 nucleotides) under Salmo salar (Atlantic salmon). It matches the Rfam family "tRNA". Rfam says of the family: Transfer RNA (tRNA) molecules are approximately 80 nucleotides in length. Their secondary structure includes four short double-helical elements and three loops (D, anti-codon, and T loops). Further hydrogen bonds mediate the characteristic L-shaped molecular structure. tRNAs have two regions of fundamental functional importance: the anti-codon, which is responsible for specific mRNA codon recognition, and the 3' end, to which the tRNAs corresponding amino acid is attached (by aminoacyl-tRNA synthetases). tRNAs cope with the degeneracy of the genetic code in two manners: having more than one tRNA (with a specific anti-codon) for a particular amino acid; and 'wobble' base-pairing, i.e. permitting non-standard base-pairing at the 3rd anti-codon position. Lineage: Eukaryota; Metazoa; Chordata; Actinopteri; Salmoniformes; Salmonidae. The record is from Rfam by way of RNAcentral.